AAGUCGAACGAGAAAGCCCGCAAGGGUGAGUGCAGUGGCGCACGGGUGAGUAAUACAUAGGAAUCUGCCUCUGAGUGAGGAAUACCCUGGAGAAAUCCAGGUUAAUACUGCAUAAGCCCUGAACUUGUUUCAGGGGAAAGGUGGCCUCAAGCUGCCGCUGAGAGAUGAGCCUAUGGCCUAUUAGCUAGUUGGAGAGGUAAAAGCUCACCAAGGCGAGGAUGGGUAGCCGGCCUGAGAGGGUGUACGGCCACACUGGAACUGAGACACGGUCCAGACUCCUACGGGAGGCAGCAGUGGGGAAUCUUGCACAAUGGGCGAAAGCCUGAUGCAGCGACGCCGCGUGGAGGAUGAAGGUCUUCGGAUUGUAAACUCCUGUUAAGUGGGAAGAAAGGCUCAUACCUAAUACGUAUGGGAGAUGACGGUACCACUAGAGAAAGCACCGGCAAACUUCGUG
Molecule: ribosomal RNA, 454 nt
Filed under: uncultured bacterium
Lineage: Bacteria
Description: bacterial SSU rRNA
Rfam family: Bacterial small subunit ribosomal RNA
Source: RNAcentral